This is a long non-coding RNA of Vulpes vulpes (red fox), 1737 nucleotides long. The record is from Ensembl. Lineage: Eukaryota; Metazoa; Chordata; Mammalia; Carnivora; Canidae.
CAGUAUUUGAUUAUGAUCUAAAGCAUCACAUGUGAUAGUGAAUAAAGUGAUAGUGAAAUCCUUUGGAAAAAUAAAAGUUGCAAAAGGGUCCUGGACCUGGUGCUGGACUGCCACCAACCCUUGACUGGACCAACAGACAUAUCAGAGAAGUGCUUGUUGAGGGAUCCCUGGGUCUUUGGGGAGUCCCCAUGCAGACCCCAGGAUGGGCGGGACUGGCUAUAAAAGUUGUAGCAGAGCCUGUUUGUGGUGGUGCUUUUGGAAACUGGAGGCCUUGGGGGCAAGGUGAGGGUUUGCGGGGAGAUGGCCACUAGGGUGGCCAUUGCAGGGUGUCUGGUGUCCCUUCUUACCUGGCAACUCAGGACUAUGUGCCGUUUCUUCCUGUUGGCUGAAUCACUCAUUCUUUCCACGGGUAUGUAUUGUUUACCUUGUAGAUGACAAACACUAGAACUUGCAGGCCACAAAUCAGAGAUGCUCUUUUCUUGUCUUCUUUCCAGAUAAGAAGCUCCCGUAUGGAGACCGGGACACUGGGCAUCUCUCCCUGCCUUUCUGCAAACCAAGGGUGCAAAUUGGUUUUGAAAUACCACGGUGACACUAGAAACAACCGUAGAGAUUGGCCAUUCUUUGAACUGACACUCCUCCUGAAGGAAAUGAGGAGAGAAGCCCCCGAAAUAACAGAGAUGGAUGUUUUUACCAUCCAGCGGCAGGAUGGAAACAAGCUGAGCUGUCACUUGUAUUAAAUCAUUGGAAGUGCCAACACGGGGUCCCCAACACUGCUGGGUUCCAGGUGACUCCGAUACACCUGUGCCUCACAGUCCUGGCUCCAAGGUGGUGAGGAACGUCUUUACCAGAGCAACAGACCAUCGAUUCCAAGUCUGGAGCUUAGCAACAUGAAAAAACAAACAAAACACAUAAUAAGUAAAUAGCAAUGGAGAGAAAUCUUUGAAAUGACUUCUGCCUCUUCAAAAUUCAACAAUGACAAAAAUGGAGAGAGUUGAGACCACACAGACAAUGGCCAUGUGGCCACCUUUGUCGUGUUUGUGGCUGCCUGACUCACACCUGUGACAGCUGGAGAGCUUGUCCAGAGGCCUGUCAUGAGCCUCACUUAGGGAGCCUUCCGGAGGUGUCCCUACCUGCGUGUCCCUUGGCGGUCAGCAUCUCAGGCUCCUCCAGCUGUGAUGCUUCUGCUCUGCUCCAUCCUGGUGGCAGCAGGUGACCUUAUCCCUGGGCUCUCUCCAUCCUCACACCUGAACUCAGGGACCUGAGGAUUCGGGUGGGGGUAGGGGGAGGAGUCUUCACCUCUCACAGAGUCAGGACACAGUGAGCAAGGCCGCCCCCUGCAGGCAGCCUCCCGGCUGAGAGCAUGCAUUCAGCCUGGCCCCCUGUUCACCUGGUGUGGGUGCUGGGCAGGCAUCUGGCCUCAUGGUGAGCCAGAGGCUUCUCCUCCUUCCUCGGGUUGUGGGGGUGGGUGGGCAGACUAUGGCUUGCCACCCGAAGGCACAGCUCACUUAGAAGGCCUGCGGGGCUCACAUGUUCCCCUGCCCUCCCUCAGACCCCCAGACUUAUGCCAGGAUUUCUUUAGAGACGUGCAGUCAACCUGAAAUUCUCCUCCCUAGUCCCUGGCUCUCUACACCCAAGGAAACACCUGUCUCUGUGACCACUGUCCUCCAGCAGGUGCUGUUGGGUGGAAGCCUGGUGUCCAUUGAUUUCUGUCUCAGCACGUGGAGGCCCCUGGGAAAC